Small nucleolar RNA from Micromonas pusilla CCMP1545, 89 nucleotides. The record is from Rfam. NCBI's taxonomy places the organism in Eukaryota, Viridiplantae, Chlorophyta, Mamiellophyceae, Mamiellales, Mamiellaceae.
UCGCGAUGAGGAAGAAAUAUCCGCGCUUCUGAACGCUUCGGCUCUGAAGCACAAAACGAUAUUAUGGUUGAAUUUCUUCAACUGAGCGA